Molecule: ribosomal RNA, 253 nt
Filed under: uncultured bacterium
Lineage: Bacteria
Description: partial 16S ribosomal RNA
Rfam family: Bacterial small subunit ribosomal RNA
Source: RNAcentral
UACGGAGGGUGCGAGCGUUGUCCGGAAUCACUGGGCGUAAAGGGCGCGUAGGCGGCGCAGACAGUCAACGGUGAAAGCUUGGGGCUCAACCCCGAGUCGGCCGUCGAUACUUCUGGGCUUGAGCACUGUAGAGGCAGGUGGAAUUCCGGGUGUAGCGGUGGAAUGCGCAGAUAUCAGGAGGAACACCGGUGGCGAAGGCGGGUCUCUGGGCCGAUACUGACGCUGAGGAGCGAAAGCGUGGGGAGCGAACAGG